CGUCUCCUCCUACAUCAUGAGCGCACUCUAGAAUGAUUCCACACGGCGGCGAAUGACUGACAGGGAGACCAAGGCUUGGUUAAAGGAGAAGAGGCGGGAACUGCGCUCUGGAGGCGGAUAGCAGGAGCUGUCAAGUUUGGUGGACGACGCAAGACGGUCAGGCAUUCGGAAAGUGCUCACUGCCGGGAUUCUGUUUUUGUCUUACCUGCUUUCUGGGACCGCUCUUCACCGGACUCGAACCACCGUCUUCGUGGUCAACUCCUCUCUGCAUCUCAAGCCCGCCGACGUACGUGGCACGCUAAAGGGACAAACUGGUUGCAGCCAGAAUGCCGUCCAUACGGAGUGUUCCCGGUGUCCUGUCAGCGUUGUGUGUAUCGUCAGUCUGUCUUCCCCGCAAGCCCUCUGGUGUGUGCAUUCGGUCAUCCUCAGUGUCUGUCAUCCCACCUGCCACAAAGGAUCAUCAGUUCCACCAAACUCCAUUCACUU
Molecule: long non-coding RNA, 486 nt
Organism: Danio aesculapii
Lineage: Eukaryota; Metazoa; Chordata; Actinopteri; Cypriniformes; Danionidae
Exons: 3
Source: RefSeq, a predicted model, not a curated record